GCAACCGGGGCCACCCGGCGUGGUUCGGCUUCACCCCAGCCCUCCCUGUGUGCUCCCCACAUCCCUGCACACCCCCUCAACAAACCUCUCUGCCCACCCCACAGGUUCACCACUAAGAAGGAGAAGAAAAUCUGCUCCUCUCUCACCAGUCCAGCCGUCCAGAAGCUGAUCCGCAGCCUGGAGGAGAAGCAGAAGAACCCCCCUCCGAAGCCCCAGGGCAGAUCCAGGCGGCUGAAGCGAAAGCAGGCCUAAGCCAGGCCUGGAGAGGACGGAUGCUUUCCCCACCAACGACCGACCGCCUGGCAAUGGACAUCCGCAGCUUUGCCACGGAUGCGGGGCUUUCUGCGGGGCACCUGGUGGGAUGGCAGCUUUGUUUUGGGGUUUUGUACAUUUGUAUUUAUAUUAAAGACUCUGCUUUCAUUCAGUCUCACCCAGAGGGCCCUAAUUCUGGCUCCUCAUGCUUCACAGAGCACCCUUUAUGCUGCAGGCUGGCUUGUCUGGAAGGUCGCUUUUAUUUUUCUUACCGAAUAAGCGGUGGCUACCGUUCACUCCCUUCCGGCCCCUUUUGCUCCUUUCCAGCUUGCAGGGCUGCGGGGCGCCAGGCGGGUCCCACGUCCCACUGCUCACGGGCUGCUGGCUGGGAGCUGCCUCCACGGCCACUCGUGGGGCUGAGCAGCAGAGGGGGGCUGCACGGUGCCACGGCCCCACUUUUACAGCUGUUGAAGUGUAGUUUGCAGGAAGACAGGCUUUUUCAAAACAUGUUUUGAUUUUAUUAAAUCCUUUCUUUUUCUUUUUUUUUUUUUUUUUUGGUAUAAAUUGCAAUGAAAUCAGAGCAAGCUUUUCAUUUCAGUGCAAUUUUACCCUUUUAUCCGCACUUGGUUUUGCUGUAUUCAGAGAUUCAGAGAUUAGUAAGCCAGGCGCUUUGCUUUCAGGAAGAAACUCUCUUACACUUUAUUCUCCCAGAUGAAAAGCUUGCAUGGUGAAAAUUGCACGCAGGUGGGGGAAUAGAAGAGUUUGCAAGAUUCAUUACAGACACGCUGCAGUUGCUUGUGAGCAGCUCUAUCUCAAAUCCUUAGUAAAAUGAGAAAUCUCUGCCCUGCGUGCGCUGGCAGGUGAGGCUGAAAGGGGGGGCACGGAAAGGUCCCAGGGAAACAUCAGCUCCCUGU
This 1166-nucleotide long non-coding RNA is filed under the name Anas platyrhynchos platyrhynchos (common mallard). RNAcentral describes it as "lncRNA (ENSAPLG00000023351.1)". The record is from RNAcentral. Lineage: Eukaryota; Metazoa; Chordata; Aves; Anseriformes; Anatidae.